CAUAAAACUGGAUCAUCCAUUGGGUUUCACUAACCAAUCUCAAGUAUAGCCGUAUGUAACAGUACCGCCAGCGAAGAAUCGAAGAAGAAAUUCCAGCUGGAAAACCGGCCAUACCAAGAGCCCCCUGAAAACAUCAAAAUAAAAUACACUACAGCAUUGCAGCUUCAUUACCAUAAUCCGAUAGUAUAAGACGUUGAAGCUGGUUUCACCACGACGAUAUCCAACAACUCAUCCAUAAUUACCGAGACAGAAUCACCUAAAAUGGAAAUAAACCGAAACUAGUUUAAAUGACCUUGACAGUCGAUCUUAAAGCUAAACGUUUGAAAAUCAGAGACUCGAGUGAAUCUUCAUGUUAAUCAGAAACACAGGAAAUACAUUCAUCAUAGAUAUACAAGACAACAGCCUAAGAAAUAUUCCUACCUCACAGCCGCGAAAUCACAGCAACGAACUGCAAUUUUUACCAAGAAUCAAGACACAAUCACAGCGAAUACCUGAAAAGAAAUAUAAUAAGAUUGAAAAUGCGCUCGCAAAAAAUUUGAUUAACAGGGGAGGAAAAAAAAACGAUCAAAAGGAAGGCAGUUAUAUUCAACAAUGAUUUCAGGAAAACGCUUUGAAAGCUUUCUCAUCAUUUCAAAAAAUAUUAUUAAAGUAAUAAACACUACCCACCUUUCGCUUAACAACACAAGAAAGACGCACCACCAACAGUUCCUAAACAAUGAAAAAGAUGUUAGAUGCUAAUACACGACGGAAAAACUGUGCAAAAGAAAAACAAUAAAUGUUCCUCAUAAAACCAGUUUUGUAAGGGAAAGAUCUGGUAUUUAAUGGAAAACCGUGCACAA
Molecule: long non-coding RNA, 839 nt
Organism: Daphnia magna
Lineage: Eukaryota; Metazoa; Arthropoda; Branchiopoda; Diplostraca; Daphniidae
Exons: 2
Source: RefSeq, a predicted model, not a curated record